GGGAGGCGAGGCGGGGCGGGGCUGGGCCGGCUGUCCGCACAAAGAGAGCCAGCGAGCUAGCCCGCGGACCAGGUACCCCGGGCCGCUGGGGGCCGGGCGGGGCGGGGCGAGGCAGGGAACACUUACCCAGCAGUAGCACGUUCUUCCCCGCAGGGAGCUUGGAGCGCGAGCGGGUGGAGACCUCGCUGAGGAUGCAGGACCUAACGGGAAGCAAGGCGUACGGUGAGGCCGGAGGCCGGAGCCGCAGCGCGGGAGGGACGGACCCGGCCUCGGCGCGCCGGGGAUGGGGCUGCCGGGAACGCAGUGGCCGGGCCCGGCGCCGAGCUCCAGCGGGCACGGGAUCCCGAGGCGUCCGCGCAAGGCCGGGGGAGCCAGCGGGGGCUGAGGGAGAGGUGGAGUCGUUACCAAAGGUUCUGCCCGUCCUCGUCGUCGCCUGCCGCGGCGCCACCGUUGCCCGACGCUAUCUCGUUGCCCAAGGGGCCGCCAGUGUAAGUCGAGGAUAAUCCCGGCGGAGAAGAACCGAAGGAGCCGACUCGCCCCACGGCCGCCAUCUUGGUCGGGAAUCACACCACUCCCGGCAAGACUAAAUGUGCGAGGCGGCUGAGGCGGUGGCGGUGGAGGCGGCGGGAACCCGGAUAUGGGGCGUUCAGCGCACGGGAGCGGGGCGGGGCCUGCGGGGGCGGGGCCCCGGGCCGGGCCAGGACUGAUGGAGCGAGCGAGAACGGACUGCGCGUGCGUGGCUGCCUGGCCGGCGCUGAGGGGCUGAGCGUACGCGGGCGGCGGGGUGGGCCGCUAUGCUGCAACUGAAGCCCAGUGAUCUGACAGUAUGGAAGUGCUUUCCUUCCGCUCAUCCGCGGCCCUGGGCUGCGGCAGGGGGGUUGGGUGUGUCAGGUGAAAAGUGCUCCCUCCCACCCUUCAGACAGGUCCCCAAACCCUGCGGCCUGCGCGGAAUUCCUGCAUUGUCAUUGCCGGCCCACCCACUGUUCAGGCUGAGAGCGGUCCCCCGCCCAAACCGGCGCUUCGCCGGCGCCAAGAUAGAAAUGGGUCGCCCGGCUGGUAAAGAGGCUGCCCUGCAACCCUGGGCUGGAGUAUUGCUGUGGUCCUGGAUUUCUGGACUUUAUUUGCGUUCUCAAGUGGCGAAGUGUUCCUCAACCUGGACCCACAUCAGAAGCAGGUUCUCCGAGCCCCUAAGCAGCGGCGUGACAAAGUAAUUGUUUACCCUGGAAAUAGACUGUUAUUUUUUAAAAAUUAUUGUCAGGGCUUGCUUUAAUGUUCUUAAUGUUUUUGUAUGAGAUCCUCCAUGUGAGAUUUGAAAAGAUCCACUAUGCGGGUCAUCUAACCGGUCACUAGACAUUGAUUCCACACUUACUACGUCGAGCACAGUUGACACUGGGAAUACAUGGAUGGACUUAUACUAGCCCUAAAAUAACUCCUUUUCUAUUAGAACUUUACUAGGUAAAGGUAUUUGAAUGUCUGAACUCCAUGUUUAGAAGGAGUCAUUGGUUUUAAGGCUCUGUCCUAGUACACCUGUAAGAGCAUUUGCUUAAAAUUGCCUGGCCUUUGUAUGUUAUCUCUGUCACUUCAUAUUUGAAAAUCACUUGCUAGAAUAUGGCCUGAUCAAUGCUGUUAUGCUAGUGAGAAAAUCCACAACUAAAGACUAUUUGCUAUAUAUUAGCAUUACGGUUAGAAGUCUGGAAGCCUUUGGAGGCUGGCAAAUCUGAGUUCAGGUCUAGCUCUUCGAGUUUACUGGCUGUGUAACCUUAGGCAAUUUACUUAACCUCCGUGAGUCUCAGUUUCCUUAUCUGUCAAAUGAGGAUAAAAGAACUUAGAGUUGUUAUUGAGAUUAAACGGGAUGAUUCAUGUAAAAUGGCUUAGAAUAACGACUGGCAAAUCUUAAGCGCUUACCACAUGUUAAUUGUUAUCAAUGACUUUCUUUACCUUUCACACCAUUAAUAUCUGACCAACCUCUAGAAGUGAUGGGCCUAAAGAACUCUUGGAGCUAAAAUUCUUUGUCACCUGUAAUGCCAGCGCUUUGGGAGGCCAAGGCAGGCAGAUUGCUUAAGCCCAGGAGUUCUUGACCAGCCUGGGCAACAUGGCGAAACCCCGGCUCUACAAAAAAUUAGCCAAGCGUGGUGGUGUGUGCCUAUAGUCCCAGCUAUUUAGGAGGCUGAGGUGGGAGGAUCACCUGAGUCCAGGAGGUCGAGGCUGCAGUGAACUGUGAUCAUGCCACUGCAAUCCAGCCUGGAUGACAGAGCAAGACCCUGUCACUAAAUAAAUAAAUAAAUAAAUAAAAUAAAACUUUUGAUUUUGUUGUUUAUAUACUUAAGAAAGGAACCAGAACCCUCCCCAGUAGUCCUACACUUUCUGUGGCACAAAGCAGGAUGGAGACCCCCAGGAGAAGCUGAGUCUUUAUGUUACUGUUCUAAAGGAGAGCUGUAUACUGCUCUUGGCCCCUCUGAAAGCCAUUUUACUCUGUACUUUAUUCUUUCAGUCAUCUUCCUCAGAGCAUUUUCCCCUCAAUUUUGUUGUCAGUUCCAUAUCAUAUUUGCUUAGUCUGAGAAGUGUUUACUUUUAUAAUAGUGUCAGGCUUCAACACCUCAUGACUUCCAGAUGCUCAACUACCCACC
This 2627-nucleotide long non-coding RNA is filed under the name Homo sapiens (human). RNAcentral's name for it is "HSALNT0052712". Lineage: Eukaryota; Metazoa; Chordata; Mammalia; Primates; Hominidae. The record is from RNAcentral.